UACGGGAGGCAGCAGUGAGGAAUAUUGGACAAUGGGUGAGAGCCUGAUCCAGCCAUCCCGCGUGAAGGACGACGGCCCUAUGGGUUGUAAACUUCUUUUGUAUAGGGAUAAACCUACCCUCGUGAGGGUAGCUGAAGGUACUAUACGAAUAAGCACCGGCUAACUCCGUGCCAGCAGCCGCGGUAAUACGGAGGGUGCAAGCGUUAUCCGGAUUUAUUGGGUUUAAAGGGUCCGUAGGCGGAUGUGUAAGUCAGUGGUGAAAUCUCACAGCUCAACUGUGAAACUGCCAUUGAUACUGCAUGUCUUGAGUGUUGUUGAGGUAGAUGGAAUAAGUAGUGUAGCGGUGAAAUGCAUAGAUAUUACUUAGAACACCAAUUGGGAAGGCAGGUUACUAAGCAACAACUGACGCUGAUGGAAGAAAGCGGUGGGGAGCGAACAGGAUUAGAUACCCUUGUAGUCCACGCCGUAAACGAUGUUAACUCGUUUUUGGGUUUUCGGAUUCAGAGACUAAGCGAAAGCGAUAAG
This 525-nucleotide ribosomal RNA is filed under the name uncultured Bacteroidota bacterium. RNAcentral describes it as "bacterial SSU rRNA". It matches the Rfam family "Bacterial small subunit ribosomal RNA", at positions 340 to 864 of the family's 1533-position model. Lineage: Bacteria; Pseudomonadati; Bacteroidota. The record is from RNAcentral.